RNAcentral lists this ribosomal RNA (496 nucleotides) under uncultured bacterium. Its description in RNAcentral is "partial 16S ribosomal RNA". It matches the Rfam family "Bacterial small subunit ribosomal RNA", at positions 29 to 507 of the family's 1533-position model. The record is from RNAcentral.
AUGAACGCUGGCGGCGUGCCUAAUACAUGCAAGUCGAGCGAACAGACGAGGAGCUUGCUCCUCUGACGUUAGCGGCGGACGGGUGAGUAACACGUGGAUAACCUACCUAUAAGACUGGGAUAACUUCGGGAAACCGGAGCUAAUACCGGAUAAUAUAUUGAACCGCAUGGUUCAAUAGUGAAAGACGGUUUUGCUGUCACUUAUAGAUGGAUCCGCGCCGCAUUAGCUAGUUGGUAAGGUAACGGCUUACCAAGGCGACGAUGCGUAGCCGACCUGAGAGGGUGAUCGGCCACACUGGAACUGAGACACGGUCCAGACUUCUACGGGAGGCAGCAGUAGGGAAUCUUCCGCAAUGGGCGAAAGCCUGACGGAGCAACGCCGCGUGAGUGAUGAAGGUCUUCGGAUCGUAAAACUCUGUUAUUAGGGAAGAACAAAUGUGUAAGUAACUAUGCACGUCUUGACGGUACCUAAUCAGAAAGCCACGGCUAACUACGUG